This 429-nucleotide ribosomal RNA is filed under the name uncultured prokaryote. RNAcentral describes it as "bacterial SSU rRNA". It matches the Rfam family "Bacterial small subunit ribosomal RNA", at positions 355 to 796 of the family's 1533-position model. The record is from RNAcentral.
UGGGGAAUCUUGGACAAUGGGCGCAAGCCUGAUCCAGCAAUGCCGCGUGUGUGAAGAAGGCCUGCGGGUUGUAAACCACUUUCAGGAGGGAAGAAGCGCAAGUGACGGUACCUCCAGAAGAAGGCCCGGCCAACUACGUGCCAGCAGCCGCGGUAAUACGUAGGGGCCUAGCGUUGUCCGGAAUUAUUGGGCGUAAAGAGCUCGUAGGCGGCCCACCAAGUCGGAUGUGAAAUCUCAAGGCUCAACCUUGAAACUGCAUCCGAUACUGAUGGGCUUGAGGCAGGUAGGGGAAGGUGGAAUUCCUGGUGUAGCGGUGAAAUGCGCAGAUAUCAGGAGGAACACCGGUGGCGAAGGCGGCCUUCUGGGCCUGUACUGACGCUGAGGAGCGAAAGCGUGGGGAGCAAACAGGAUUAGAUACCCCCGUAGUCC